RNAcentral lists this signal recognition particle RNA (303 nucleotides) under Manihot esculenta (cassava). Its description in RNAcentral is "Plant signal recognition particle RNA". It matches the Rfam family "Plant signal recognition particle RNA". The record is from Rfam by way of RNAcentral. Lineage: Eukaryota; Viridiplantae; Streptophyta; Magnoliopsida; Malpighiales; Euphorbiaceae.
GCUGAGCUCAGUAACGUGGGCUUGUAACCCAAGUGGGGGCUUUGAGGUGUUGGGACGUUGUUUGAGCCCUUAUGGCAGGAUCAGGCUUGGCUAAUUUCUGGCUUGCCCGUUCCAAGCUGAGAGUUAAACCAUGGGACCUGGGCGAAGGCUUGGGUCUCCUAGUUCCUAGAGCAGGGUGUAAUGCGUGAGGCUGGCUUCACAGAGCUGCGAUUACCUCUCGCUCCCAGCAGUGGAAGGAUAACAGGUUGGUGCCAUCCUGGUCCAUAUGGCUAGAUGGGCUGUGCUAACUGGACCAUCACUUUU